GUUUAUACUAAGUGACCCAUAGGUUGAGGAGGCGGUGACCGUGGCGGUGGAGGAUGAGGUAGCCAUCACUGAUAUAUAUAUAUAUAUUAAUUGGGGUAGCCCCCAAAAUAUUGGGACAUAUAAAAAAGACAACUCUGUUCCACAGAGUUACUGUUGACAUUAUAGUUGCGCAGGCACUUUGUUGACUCUAGAGAACCUCGGGCCAAUCGCACACCUCCGUGGCGGUGACUUUGCAUGCGGAUGUCAUCCAUAUCAACUUUCAAAGCCAGUUUCUGCGCCUACUAUGGUGACCACGGGUAACGGGGAAUCAGGGUUCCAUUCCGUACAGGGACCCUGAGAAACGCUACCACAUGCAAGGAAGGCA
This is a non-coding RNA of Pelobates cultripes (western spadefoot toad), 364 nucleotides long. NCBI's taxonomy places the organism in Eukaryota, Metazoa, Chordata, Amphibia, Anura, Pelobatidae. The record is from the annotation of a GenBank genome assembly.